AUUGAACGCUGGCGGCAGGCCUAACACAUGCAAGUCGAACGGUAGCACAGAGGAGCUUUCUCCUUGGGUGACGAGUGGCGGACGGGUGAGUAAUGUCUGGGAAACUGCCCGUUGGAGGGGGAUAACUACUGGAAACGGUAGCUAAUACCGCAUAACGUCGCAAGACCAAAGAGGGGACCUUUCGGGCCUCGUGCCAUCGGAAGUGCCCAGAUGGGUUUAGCUAGUAGGUGAGGUAACGGCUUACCUAGGCGACGAUCCCAAGCUGGUGUGGGAGGUUGACCAGCCACACUGGAACUGAGACACGGUCCAGACACCUACGGGAGGCAGCAGUGGGGAAUAUUGCACAAUGGGCGCAAGCCUGAUGCAGCCAUGCGGCGUGUAUGAAGAAGGCCUUCGGGUUGUAAAGUACUUUCAGCGAGGAGGAAGGCGUUGUGGUUAAUAACCGCAGCGAUUGACGUCACUCGCAGAAGAAGCACCGGCUAACUCCGUGCCAGCCGCCGCCGUAA
This 506-nucleotide ribosomal RNA is filed under the name uncultured bacterium. RNAcentral describes it as "partial 16S ribosomal RNA". It matches the Rfam family "Bacterial small subunit ribosomal RNA", at positions 30 to 523 of the family's 1533-position model. The record is from RNAcentral.